AUUGAACGCUGGCGGCAGGCCUAACACAUGCAAGUCGAACGGUAACAGGAAGAAGCUUGCUUCUUUGCUGACGAGUGGCGGACGGGUGAGUAAUGUCUGGGAAACUGCCUGAUGGAGGGGGAUAACUACUGGAACCGGUAGCUAAUACCGCAUAACGUCGCAAGACCAAAGAGGGGGACCUUCGGGCCUCUUGCCAUCGGAUGUGCCCAGAUGGGAUUAGCUAGUAGGUGGGGUAACGGCUCACCUAGGCGACGAUCCCUAGCUGGUCUGAGAGGAUGACCAGCCACACUGGAACUGAGACACGGUCCAGACUCCUACGGGAGGCAGCAGUGGGAAAUAUUGCACAAUGGGCGCAAGCCUGAUGCAGCCAUGCCGCGUGUAUGAAGAAGGCCUUCGGGUUGUAAAGUACUUUCAGCGGGGAGGAAGGGAGUAAAGUUAAUACCUUUGCUCAUUGACGUUACCCGCAGAAGAAGCACCGGCUAACUCCGUG
This 490-nucleotide ribosomal RNA is filed under the name uncultured bacterium. Its description in RNAcentral is "partial 16S ribosomal RNA". It matches the Rfam family "Bacterial small subunit ribosomal RNA", at positions 30 to 507 of the family's 1533-position model. The record is from RNAcentral.